Molecule: ribosomal RNA, 784 nt
Filed under: Vibrio parahaemolyticus
Lineage: Bacteria; Pseudomonadati; Pseudomonadota; Gammaproteobacteria; Vibrionales; Vibrionaceae
Description: partial 23S ribosomal RNA
Rfam family: Bacterial large subunit ribosomal RNA
Source: RNAcentral
CGUACGCCAGUAUGUGUGGAGCCGUCCUUGAAAUACCACCCUUGUAGUGUUGAUGUUCUAACGUUGACCCCUUAUCGGGGUUGCGGACAGUGCCUGGUGGGUAGUUUGACUGGGGCGGUCUCCUCCCAAAGAGUAACGGAGGAGCACGAAGGUGGGCUAAUCACGGUUGGACAUCGUGAGGUUAGUGCAAUGGCAUAAGCCCGCUUGACUGCGAGAAUGACAAUUCGAGCAGGUGCGAAAGCAGGUCAUAGUGAUCCGGUGGUUCUGAAUGGAAGGGCCAUCGCUCAACGGAUAAAAGGUACUCCGGGGAUAACAGGCUGAUACCGCCCAAGAGUUCAUAUCGACGGCGGUGUUUGGCACCUCGAUGUCGGCUCAUCACAUCCUGGGGCUGAAGUCGGUCCCAAGGGUAUGGCUGUUCGCCAUUUAAAGUGGUACGCGAGCUGGGUUUAGAACGUCGUGAGACAGUUCGGUCCCUAUCUGCCGUGGGCGUUGGAAGAUUGAAGGGGGCUGCUCCUAGUACGAGAGGACCGGAGUGGACGAACCUCUGGUGUUCGGGUUGUGUCGCCAGACGCAUUGCCCGGUAGCUAAGUUCGGAAUCGAUAACCGCUGAAAGCAUCUAAGCGGGAAGCGAGCCCUGAGAUGAGUCUUCCCUGAUACUUUAAGUAUCCUAAAGGGUUGUCGGAGACUACGACGUUGAUAGGUCAGGUGUGUAAGUGCUGUGAGGCAUUGAGCUAACUGAUACUAAUUGCCCGUGAGGCUUAACCAUACAACACCCAAGGGGUUU